RNAcentral lists this ribosomal RNA (627 nucleotides) under Microbacteriaceae bacterium Ri3Pt_4451. RNAcentral describes it as "bacterial SSU rRNA". It matches the Rfam family "Bacterial small subunit ribosomal RNA", at positions 387 to 1022 of the family's 1533-position model. Lineage: Bacteria; Bacillati; Actinomycetota; Actinomycetes; Micrococcales; Microbacteriaceae. The record is from RNAcentral.
UGCAGCAACGCCGCGUGAGGGACGACGGCCUUUAGGGUUGUAAACCUCUUUUAGUAGGGAAGAAGCGAAAGUGACGGUACCUGCAGAAAAAGCACCGGCUAACUACGUGCCAGCAGCCGCGGUAAUACGUAGGGUGCAAGCGUUGUCCGGAAUUAUUGGGCGUAAAGAGCUCGUAGGCGGUUUGUCGCGUCUGCUGUGAAAACUGGAGGCUCAACCUCCAGCCUGCAGUGGGUACGGGCAGACUAGAGUGCGGUAGGGGAGAUUGGAAUUCCUGGUGUAGCGGUGGAAUGCGCAGAUAUCAAGAGGAACACCGAUGGCGAAGGCAGAUCUCUGGGCCGUAACUGACGCUGAGGAGCGAAAGCAUGGGGAGCGAACAGGAUUAGAUACCCUGGUAGUCCAUGCCGUAAACGUUGGGAACUAGAUGUGGGGGCCAUUCCACGGUCUCCGUGUCGCAACUAACGCAUUAAGUUCCCCGCCUGGGGAGUACGGCCGCAAGGCUAAAACUCAAAGGAAUUGACGGGGGCCCGCACAAGCGGCGGAGCAUGCGGAUUAAUUCGAUGCAACGCGAAGAACCUUACCAAGGCUUGACAUAUACGAGAACGGGCCAGAAAUGGUCAACUCUUUGGA